GAAUUGUUAGCAAGAGAAUGAGUGGAGGCGAGAAGAAAUCACUUGUAAAGGCUAUGUGAUUCCCUGAUGACAGAUCUGAGGAAGAAUGAAGAGGCUUUGAAGAUAAAGGUAUCUUCACCUCGCCAAGAUCAACCACAUCCUGCAGAACCUUCAUUCAUUCAGCAAACAGCCAGGCUUUAUGCUAGGCCCUGGGGAAAUGGCAAUUAAGGAGACUCAGUCCCUAUCCUUACAGAACACCCCAUCUGACACGGAAAUAGCUCCUGGCCCGCAAUGUGGUAAGAUGCAGUAAUACGUGCAAGGCUCCUGACUUAGUGGCAAUGAUGUUUAAGCCGAGAUCUGAAGGAUAACUAACAACGGCGUGCCAGAGAAAAGAGUAGCGGGUGGAGAGAGGAGGCCAGGGGAAUAUUUCUGGGCUUGGUAAGUAAGCCAGGUCCCUGCCAGACAUGGACUGAGAAGAGCAAAGCCAGGAGUGACAGCUGAUGAUUAUUUUUUAACUGAGGAAGGAAGAUCCUUGAGAACGGAACCUCUUGGGACCUUCUACCCAGAACACCAGAGCACCUCACUGGGAUCAGAGCCAGGCCAUCGGGUGGAUUAAGCAACUAAAAUUGAUCGUCCUGAACCAUGAGUCUGUCUGUUUAUGGGGAGAGAAACUUUGAGAUGAAUUAAUCCACAGGUCCAAUGGGACUUUGACAUUUUAAUUUGUAGAAAUAAAACUUGCCUUUGAUUUUGCCA
RNAcentral lists this non-coding RNA (732 nucleotides) under Pan troglodytes (chimpanzee). The record is from RNAcentral. Lineage: Eukaryota; Metazoa; Chordata; Mammalia; Primates; Hominidae.